This 447-nucleotide ribosomal RNA is filed under the name uncultured bacterium. RNAcentral's name for it is "bacterial SSU rRNA". It matches the Rfam family "Bacterial small subunit ribosomal RNA", at positions 355 to 825 of the family's 1533-position model. The record is from RNAcentral.
UCGGGAAUUUUGGGCAAUGGGCGAAAGCCUGACCCAGCAACGCCGCGUGAAGGAUGAAGUAUUUCAGUAUGUAAACUUCGAAAGAAUAGGAAGAAUAAAUGACGGUACUAUUUAUAAGGUCCGGCUAACUACGUGCCAGCAGCCGCGGUAAUACGUAGGGACCAAGCGUUGUUCGGAUUUACUGGGCGUAAAGGGCGCGUAGGCGGCAAUUCAAGUCAUCUGUGAAAUCUCCGGGCUUAACUCGGGACGGUCAGAUGAUACUGCUUUGCUAGAGUGCAGAAGGGGCAAUCGGAAUUCUUGGUGUAGCGGUGAAAUGCGUAGAUAUCAAGAGGAACACCUGAGGUGAAGACGGGUUGCUGGGCUGACACUGACGCUGAGGCGCGAAAGCCAGGGGAGCAAACGGGAUUAGAUACCCAUGUAGUCCCUGAGCGGGCUGGCAAGGCGCAU